GACGUAGGGCGCGAGCGUUGUCCGGAUUUAUUGGGCGUAAAGAGCUCGUAGGCGGCUUGUCGCGUCGUCCGUGAAAACCCACAGCUCAACUGUGGGCUUGCGGUCGAUACGGGCAGGCUAGAGUUCAGUAGGGGAGACUGGAAUUCCUGGUGUAGCGGUGAAAUGCGCAGAUAUCAGGAGGAACACCGGUGGCGAAGGCGGGUCUCUGGGCCGAUACUGACGCUGAGGAGCGAAAGCGUGGGGAGCGAACAGG
This 253-nucleotide ribosomal RNA is filed under the name uncultured bacterium. Its description in RNAcentral is "partial 16S ribosomal RNA". It matches the Rfam family "Bacterial small subunit ribosomal RNA", at positions 524 to 776 of the family's 1533-position model. The record is from RNAcentral.